This 76-nucleotide transfer RNA is filed under the name Tissierellia bacterium. Its description in RNAcentral is "tRNA-Lys". It matches the Rfam family "tRNA". From Rfam's summary of the family: Transfer RNA (tRNA) molecules are approximately 80 nucleotides in length. Their secondary structure includes four short double-helical elements and three loops (D, anti-codon, and T loops). Further hydrogen bonds mediate the characteristic L-shaped molecular structure. tRNAs have two regions of fundamental functional importance: the anti-codon, which is responsible for specific mRNA codon recognition, and the 3' end, to which the tRNAs corresponding amino acid is attached (by aminoacyl-tRNA synthetases). tRNAs cope with the degeneracy of the genetic code in two manners: having more than one tRNA (with a specific anti-codon) for a particular amino acid; and 'wobble' base-pairing, i.e. permitting non-standard base-pairing at the 3rd anti-codon position. The record is from RNAcentral. Lineage: Bacteria; Bacillati; Bacillota; Tissierellia. RNAcentral also lists the same sequence under 1 other name.
GCACCUUUAGCUCAGCUGGCAGAGCAACUGACUCUUAAUCAGUAGGCCCAGGGUUCGAAUCCCUGAAGGUGCACCA